CCGUAGGUGAACCUGCGGAAGGAUCAUUAAAUAAUCAAUAAUCUUGGCUUGUCCAUUAUUAUCUAUUUACUGUGAACUGUAUUAUUAUUUGACGUUUGAGGGAUGUUCCAAUGUUAUAAGGAUAGACAUUGGAGAUGUUAACCGAGUCAUAAUCAGGUUUAGGCCUGGUAUCCUAUUAUUAUUUACCAAAUGAAUUCAGAAUUAAUAUUGUAACAUAGACCUAAAAAAUCUAUAAAACAACUUUUAACAACGGAUCUCUUGGUUCUCGCAUCGAUGAAGAACGUAGCAAAGUGCGAUAACUAGUGUGAAUUGCAUAUUCAGUGAAUCAUCGAGUCUUUGAACGCAACUUGCGCUCAUUGGUAUUCCAAUGAGCACGCCUGUUUCAGUAUCAAAACAAACCCUCUAUCCAACUUUUGUUGUAUAGGAUUAUUGGGGGCCUCUCGAUCUGUAUAGAUCUUGAAACCCUUGAAAUUUACUAAGGCCUGAACUUGUUUAAUGCCUGAACUUUUUUUUAAUAUAAAGGAAAGCUCUUGUAAUUGACUUUGAUGGGGCCUCCCAAAUAA
RNAcentral lists this ribosomal RNA (563 nucleotides) under Mucor sp. FBCC2319. RNAcentral's name for it is "eukaryotic LSU rRNA". The stretch from base 239 to 391 matches the Rfam family "5.8S ribosomal RNA". Lineage: Eukaryota; Fungi; Mucoromycota; Mucoromycetes; Mucorales; Mucoraceae. The record is from RNAcentral.